This 374-nucleotide ribosomal RNA is filed under the name uncultured organism. RNAcentral describes it as "partial 16S ribosomal RNA". It matches the Rfam family "Bacterial small subunit ribosomal RNA", at positions 527 to 896 of the family's 1533-position model. The record is from RNAcentral.
GUAGGUGGCAAGCGUUGUCCGGAAUUAUUGGGCGUAAAGCGCGCGCAGGCGGUUCUUUAAGUCUGAUGUGAAAGCCCACGGCUCAACCGUGGAGGGUCAUUGGAAACUGGAGAACUUGAGUACAGAAGUGGAAAGCGGAAUUCCACGUGUAGCGGUGAAAUGCGUAGAGAUGUGGAGGAACACCAGUGGCGAAGGCGGCUUUCUGGUCUGUAACUGACGCUGAGGCGCGAAAGCGUGGGGAGCAAACAGGAUUAGAUACCCUGGUAGUCCACGCCGUAAACGAUGAGUGCUAAGUGUUAGGGGGGUUUUCCGCCCCCCUUAGUGCUGCAGCUAACGCAUUAAGCACUCCGCCUGGGAGUACGGCCGCAAGGCUG